RNAcentral lists this ribosomal RNA (254 nucleotides) under uncultured bacterium. Its description in RNAcentral is "partial 16S ribosomal RNA". It matches the Rfam family "Bacterial small subunit ribosomal RNA", at positions 524 to 776 of the family's 1533-position model. The record is from RNAcentral.
CACGUAGGGUGCGAGCGUUGUCCGGAAUUAUUGGGCGUAAAGAGCUCGUAGGCGGUGUGUCGCGUCGGCCGUGAAAACCUGCAGCUUAACUGUGGGCUUGCGGUCGAUACGGGCAUCACUGGAGUGUUGCAGGGGAGACUGGAAUUCCUGGUGUGGCGGUGAAAUGCGCAGAUAUCAGGAGGAACACCGGUGGCGAAGGCGGGUCUCUGGGCAACAACUGACGCUGAGGAGCGAAAGCGUGGGGAGCGAACAGG